RNAcentral lists this ribosomal RNA (456 nucleotides) under uncultured bacterium. RNAcentral's name for it is "bacterial SSU rRNA". It matches the Rfam family "Bacterial small subunit ribosomal RNA", at positions 340 to 786 of the family's 1533-position model. The record is from RNAcentral.
UACGAAGGCAGCAGUGGGGAAUAUUGCACAAUGGGCGAAAGCCUGAUGCAGCUAUGCCGCGUGUAUGAAGAAGGCCUUAGGGUUGUAAAGUACUUUCAUCGGGGAGGAAAAACAAAACUAAUAAUUUUAUUUCUUGACGUUACCCGAAAAAGAAGCACCGGCUAACUCCGUGCCAGCAGCCGCGGUAAUACGGAGGGUGCUAGCGUUAAUCAGAAUUACUGGGCGUAAAGAGCACGUAGGUGGUUUUUUUAAGUCAGAUGUGAAAUCCCUGGGCUUAACCUAGGAACUGCAUUUUGAAACUGAAAUACUAGAGUAUCGUAGAGGGAGGUAGAAUUCUAGGUGUAGCGGUGAAAUGCGUAGAUAUCUGGAGGAAUACCUGUGGCGAAAGCGGCCUCCUAAACGAAUACUGACACUGAGGGUGCGAAAAGCGUGGGGAGCAAACAGGGAUUAGAUACC